AUACGUAGGUGGCGAGCGUUGUCCGGAUUUACUGGGUGUAAAGGGUGCGUAGGCGGGUUAUCAAGUUGGGUGUGAAACCUCCGUGCUUAACACGGAGCCUGCAUUCAAAACUGGUAAUCUUGAGUGAGGUAGAGGUAGAUGGAAUUCCCGGUGUAGCGGUGAAAUGCGUAGAGAUCGGGAGGAACACCAGUGGCGAAGGCGGUCUACUGGGCCUUAACUGACGCUGAGGCACGAAAGCAUGGGUAGCAAACAGGAUUAGAUACCCUGGUAGUCCAUGCUGUAAACGAUGAUUGCUAGGUGUGGGUGGACUGACCCCAUCCGUGCCGGAGUCAACACAAUAAGCAAUCCACCUGGGGAGUACGGCCGCAAGGUUAAA
RNAcentral lists this ribosomal RNA (376 nucleotides) under uncultured bacterium. Its description in RNAcentral is "bacterial SSU rRNA". It matches the Rfam family "Bacterial small subunit ribosomal RNA", at positions 523 to 898 of the family's 1533-position model. The record is from RNAcentral.